ACCUCUGUGGUGUAGUGGUAGCAAUCGUCCCCGGUAUAGAUAAAACGCGGGUUCGACUCCCGUCUAAGGUC
This is a non-coding RNA of Parelaphostrongylus tenuis, 71 nucleotides long. NCBI's taxonomy places the organism in Eukaryota, Metazoa, Nematoda, Chromadorea, Rhabditida, Metastrongylidae. The record is from the annotation of a GenBank genome assembly.